RNAcentral lists this ribosomal RNA (250 nucleotides) under uncultured archaeon. RNAcentral describes it as "partial 16S ribosomal RNA". It matches the Rfam family "Bacterial small subunit ribosomal RNA", at positions 524 to 772 of the family's 1533-position model. The record is from RNAcentral.
UACGUAGGGGCAGGCAGUUGUCCGGAUUCAUUGGGCGUAAAGAGCUCGUAGGCGGUUCAGUAAGUCGGGUGUGAAAGCUCCGAGCUCAACUCGGAGAGGCCACCCGAUACUGCUGUGACUUGAGUCCAGUAGAGGAGCGUGGAACUCCUGGUGUAGCGGUGGAAUGCGCAGAUAUCAGGAAGAACACCUGCAGCGAAGGCGGCGCUCUGGGCUGGAACUGACGCUGAGGAGCGAAAGCGUGGGUAGCAAA